RNAcentral lists this unclassified non-coding RNA (284 nucleotides) under plant metagenome. Its description in RNAcentral is "partial contains small subunit ribosomal RNA, internal transcribed spacer 1, and 5.8S ribosomal RNA". The stretch from base 1 to 53 matches the Rfam family "Eukaryotic small subunit ribosomal RNA", at positions 1778 to 1831 of the family's 1831-position model. The record is from RNAcentral.
GGAAGUAAAAUCGUAACAAGGUUUCCGUAGGUGAACCUGCGGAAGGAUCAUUAUUGUAUAACCGAGGUGCGAGGGCUGUCGCUGACCCGAAAGGUCGUGCACGCCCGUGUGCCCUCACACACAUCCAUCUCACCCCUAUGUGCACCACCGCGUGGGUCCCCCUUUGGCUUGUUCGGAGGGGGGCUUACGUUUUCACACAAACUUUGUAUGCAGUGUAGAAUGUAUUUUUUGUUUUUGCGAUCACGCAAUCAAUACAACUUUCAACAACGGAUCUCUUGGCUCUC